AGCACAAGGGUAAUAGCUUCAAGUACAUUUGUAUACAUAUUUUCAACAAGAACAGGUAUGUAUUUAAUCAUUCGCUAGGUCGGCAGCAACCAUUAUGCAUACAUUUUAUACAAGCUAUUGCCAUUGUCAAUCGUGAACAUGGAGAGCCUCGAGUCAACUUGAGGAUGGUGCCACGUUGAAGUCAAAUGGUGGCCCCUUUUCCUCUCAUCUAGCUUUUCUGCCAUGUGACUCCUUGCUGUUAAAUCUUUUCAAUGCCCAUGAAGAAAAGUGAUUCUUUCGCCUAAAGCUCUAGAGAUAUUGUUAAAAGAUGGAGGGAAAAGAUAAAGAGUGUUUAAGGGAAGCAAGCCACAAGAACACACCUGGCUAAAAGAGUUUGCUGCCCACAUGGCACAACUGAAUUCUGUGCUCAGAGAUUGUUCUGCUGAAGCCUUUAGAGACACACUGAGUGAGGAAGCGAAGAACCUGUUUCUGCCAGUCUUGUAUCUGGCUGGAUCUAUACACACAGAUCAGUUUUGCUCUUUUGCCUCCAAGUCCUGAGUCAGUGUAAGUCACAUUAAUUAAAAUCUUGAAGCCCCACUUAAGUUUGUAAACUCUGUCUUUAAAACAUGAUGAUCUCGAGAAGGAAAUAGAAUUUUACAGAAUCUGGGAAGGGUCCCCCUCCUAGAGAUAAAGCGCCCAACCCAACCCUGUCUUUACUGCAUGUGGGUAGCCCGAUGCCUCUGUUCCCACUGAUUGCUUUAACCCAACCCUAUAAUAUUUUAAUAUAUAGAAUAUUAUCAAACUAUAAAAGUCUCUUUCCCACAAGGCCCAGUAUGAAAAUAAGAAGGGGAAGACACAGGCCCAAUCCUCUAGCACUAACUCAUUGCAUGGGUCAGUUAUGAUUAUGCCCCAGAUAUCACCCACAGGCCAAGUGCUGGUCAUAGGACCAAAAAUGGCAUCCUUUGCUUAAUAAAAUCAUAUCAUAGGAUGACUGAUUUAUGGCUGGAAGGAAACUGGCAGGUCAUCUAAUCCAACCCUCUUAUUUUAUAAGUGAUGAAAUAUCUAAGAUCAUAUCAUAUUAACUGAAAGAGCUGGGAUUUGAAUUCAGGGUUUCCAACUUGGAAUCUACCCAUUUUCCUUUCACUAUCCUCAUCUUUCAAAUGGAAUUAGGUGAAGAACAGUAGAAAAUUGAGGAAUUUGGGCCAACUCCAGAAGAUGAGUUAAACAUGAAUAAUCUGAAGAAAAAGAUUAGAAACAGAAAGGGUUUGUCUAUAAGGUAGAAUCAAGUUUCCAAUUCCAUGUAGUCACAGACCAGAUGACCACAAGGACUUGGGGACUAAAGCAAAAAGAUUUGGCCACACACACCGGACAAAGGUAAACCCCUAAUCAAGCUAUAGCCAAGGCUCAAGUCGAUUCACAGUCUGAUUCUGCAAACAUGAAAGGAUCAAUGCUGGCCUACUCUGUAAAACCUCAGAUCCUGAGUCCUGGGGAGCCAGUGGCCCUGCUAAGUCGGACCAAGCAAAGGGCUGCCUCAUUGCUCCAGGCAUGAAAGUUUGGGGAGGUCUGGAGACAUUGUCGACUGUUUACAACAGUCUGCAACAGAACCCCGGGACAUGCCAUCCAGGUUCAUACACAAAGGACAGAUGGAAAAAAGAGAGACCUUGUUGUCUUUGCCCCAAUACCCCCACAGAGCUGGAAAAGACUAGCAGCAUCUCCUGAAUCUGCUACAAAAACCAGAACAGAUUGGGGAAAAUGCCCACCCCUUUCAGAAUCAAUUCUUCAAGAAAGUGGAUGUUCUUCCUCUAGUUCAGAGAUCCUGGGAGAUUUCUAAAGGAUAGUGGCUGGGAGAAUCAGAUAGUAGUAGGCCAUUCUCCAUGCAGGGAUGGAGCUAUGUAGCCUUGAGGAUCUAGAGAAGCAAUAAUGGGACUGGAUCACAAAACCCAGAAACAGAGAAAGUGCAAUGAGACAUUUUCUGGCAUCCAAAGGACAGGUUGGGGCCUACUUGUAGGCCCCCAAAAGUGAGCCAACUGAGCAGACUAUAUACUACAGAAUAGGACAUUAAGGGAGAAAGUUCACUGAAAGUCCCUUUGAGGUUGACUCCUCUUUGACAAAUUAGUUUUUUUUUUUGAUCAAGAGGAAACCCUGCCCCUCCACACAUGCCACUACCACCACAUAACACCCAUCC
Long non-coding RNA from Sarcophilus harrisii (Tasmanian devil), 2164 nucleotides. Lineage: Eukaryota; Metazoa; Chordata; Mammalia; Dasyuromorphia; Dasyuridae. The record is from Ensembl.